Cavia porcellus (domestic guinea pig) is the source of this 2150-nucleotide long non-coding RNA. RefSeq lists it as uncharacterized. NCBI's taxonomy places the organism in Eukaryota, Metazoa, Chordata, Mammalia, Rodentia, Caviidae. The record is from RefSeq and is a predicted model, not a curated record. The transcript is spliced from 2 exons.
UGCUCCAGGGUGCAUCCAUCCUGUGACUCCCGCCUGCUCUGGACAGGACCAGAGGACAUGUGGACAUUAGUACAUUGACCCCAAAUGCUUGUUCCUGGAAGUAACAUGGUGUACAUCUGCUCCAUUGCCUAGAACAAGACCUAUGGCUUCAUGCAGCUUGCAGUGGCUGAUGGGGGACAUCACUCAGACUGGAUGUAGAAGCACCUGGGGACCACAUCACCUUCAAGCUAACGACAGAGACACUCAUGAAUCAGGACAGUGUUUCCUUCUCACCAGUGUUUUAAAGACAGAGUAACUUUUUGCCAGAGGUACUAUUUAUAUUAAUGAUAUUGGGCUGGAAUUGGCACUUUUUCUGUAGAUGUUGUUGAGCAACCUGGUGGAAAGUUCCUGGUACUCACAAUAAGCAUGGCACGGGGUGUUCUGGGCUUUCCUUUCAGACUCAUGGAUCGGGCUGCUGGCUGUACUAUGGCUUAUAGCUAACUGUCCACCUGAAUCCUGUACUGUAGCUUGUCCCUCUGAAAUGCACCAGUGUCUGGCUUGGUGGGAGACUUUCAGACUCACUGACUUGCAGAAGGCUGAGGAGGUCAUCGGGCCCCAUGAUGGGGAGAGAGAAGGUGGCUGACACAUGGGUCACAUAGACAGCCAGGUGAGCUCCUAGCCUUCAUUUGCAACAGGGCAUUCUACAUUCCGAGCCAAGGUGGAGCCAGAGGAAGGGCUGGGGACAGGCUCAGGCAGCAUCCAGCUGGGGAGGAGGUGCUGGAACAGGGCUGCUGGUCCAGGGUGCUCAUCCCUAUGGCCUCCAGCUAUGCUCUGGUGCCUUUUGUGACUCUCCUCAAACGUGUGUCAUUGACUGCAAACAUAGCUUAGAGACAGGAGUGAGCUAAUGAGAUUGCAGGAAGUCUUGCUGGGUUCUGCUUCACACCACAGUUCAUCACAUCACCACCGAAGCCACGGGCUCUCUGUAGGGCAUCUGCCCAAGGCUGUAUGCCUCAGAGCCUACCAUCGUGGACCUGUUGAUAUGAGCCCUGUCUGUCUUGAUGUUGCUCUGUGGGCCCUGCCUGAUGGACUGCUGGUGAGUCCUGCCUAUGUGGGUCCUGCUUGCUGCCCGGGCUCUGUGUGUCCUGCCCUUGGCUCUCCAAUUUCCUGUUUCUGAGCACUCCUUGUGGCUGCUCCUCACGUCUGAGGGCCAUGCUGCUUAUCUCUAUGCAUCCAGCUUCCUGCACACCAGACUGGACAUGGCUCGCUGUCCCUGGGACUUCAGAAGUGACUUCUGAUUGCAGUGUCCUUUCUCUCAUUCUGUUUCAUUUUCAUUUUAUGUCUCACACUCUAUCUCUGGAGAACUUAAACUCCAUGAUGGCAGAAACACCAGCCCUUCAGAUGUAGCCAGUGGUGCCCCUGGCAUGUUUCUUAACCUCUGCGCAUCACCUCGCCUGUCUUCUCAUCAUUCUGAUGAGAUUAUGUGGCGCCUGCCUUCUGAGGCUGUCAGGGAAAUGAGUGGGCUACCUGCAUGUGAGUGCCCUAGUGACAUCUUCUAGGCUCAGAACAUUGCCAUGUCCUGAGCACUAUCACACUGUCAUGAUCUCUGUCUGAUUUCAUAUUGCAGCAUUGCACAUGGUUACCAGUGACACUCCUCACACACAGGAGUGUCGCUGGUGUUUGGGCAGGGCCGUGGCCUCAGCUCAGCCCAGUGCAGGACAACCUGUGUCCCAGCCUAUCUUCCUCCUGGAGCACUGAGUCCUUUCCUUUCUAGAUCACACAGUGGGAAAUUGUUGGGAGCCGCCGACACCGGUCGCCUUACUUGGCGGACGUAGGGCCUGUGGGUGGGAGCGGAGCCUGAGCUAGAUUGCCCCUCCCAUCGAGUGAGUCAAGUUGGCGCCUGCUUCCUGCCCCCUGAUUGCGCUGGCGACUUAAACAACCCGCUCUGUAAGAUAGUCUGCCUAGCAACAACUGAUGUUAGCCAAUCAGCCCGCAUCGCGCGCUUUGAACUGAUUGGCCACUGUCACCCUAUAAAAGUGAAUGCCUCUCCCGCCACGAGACAGGAAGCACAGAGAGAGAUAGAGAAAGUCCACCGGCGAGAAAGGGCUGGUGGCAGAGAGGAGGCCUCGCGGGGCCCACGCGGAGACAAAUAAAGGCAAGGUUGCACACCGCCA